RNAcentral lists this ribosomal RNA (482 nucleotides) under Nuttallia japonica. RNAcentral describes it as "partial 16S ribosomal RNA". It matches the Rfam family "Bacterial large subunit ribosomal RNA", at positions 1816 to 2597 of the family's 2925-position model. Lineage: Eukaryota; Metazoa; Mollusca; Bivalvia; Cardiida; Psammobiidae. The record is from RNAcentral.
CGCCUCUUGAUUAUUGUUGAAAAGGGGUCUGUCCUGCCCGGUGAGCACCAGCUUUAACGGUCGCAGUUAACACUGUGCUAAGGUAGCGCAAUCAAUCGUCCUUUAAUUGGGGAAAGGUAUGAAGGAUUGACGUGGAAAGGCUUUAUUGAGAAUACAUAUGGAAUUUUACAUCUUAGUGCAAAGGCUAGGAUAAUAUUGUUAGACGAGAAGACCCUAUUGAGCUUGGUAUAAUCUCUAGGUAAGUUUACUUAUUUAGGGAUGGUAUGUUUUUUCGGGAAAGCUAGGGAGGGAAAACUAUGCCUCCCUUCUUAUUAUACAGAUCCAGCAUGGCUGAUAAAAAGAAGACAGUUACCAUAGGGAUAACAGCACAAUCGCCUCGACGAGGUCUUAUUUGAGAGGCGGUUUGUAACCUCGAUGUUGAAUUAAGAUUUCUUCUAGGUGCAGCAGCUUAGAAAGUGGGACUGUUCGUCCUUUAAAAUCUU